This 526-nucleotide long non-coding RNA is filed under the name Panicum hallii. RNAcentral's name for it is "long non-coding RNA (PHAL_LNC000006)". The record is from RNAcentral. Lineage: Eukaryota; Viridiplantae; Streptophyta; Magnoliopsida; Poales; Poaceae.
ACACAGACGUGACAGAAGCAUGCAGCUGACGAUGCGGAGUGGAUAAGAAGAAAAAAGCAAGCUGCGAGCAACGAUUCGAUGGGAAGGGGACGUACACGCGUGAUCAUGCAGAUCCAAUCGGCGCAGGCCACCUAGCAGCUAAGCUAGCCUUAAUGGGAGAGGGAGAGAGACAGAUGGGCAGGAGUGUGGCUACGUGUGCUCACGUACGCCUCUCAUGCACAGGCGAUGCGCCCAAUGAGACCAACGAGCCCACAACUCUGGAUCGGAUUCCUACAUCCCUUUUAUACCCUUAGCUUGUUCAUUCUUUUACCACCACAAAUGCAGAACUGUGCAUCACUGAUGCAAAAAAGCUUAUUCUGAGAAUCUGAACUGCUGCUGCUUGCGAUGCUCUGUACCACGUUGAGUUCGUCCUCGUCACCUGAUCUACCAAGAAGAAUUGUAUUGUGCUUCGCCAAUAAACAAAGCAUUCAGCAUUCGUUUCUUCGUGGACUCGUGCUGAUUCGGACACUCUCGAUGACCUUUCACC